ACGAACGCUGGCGGCGUGCCUAAUACAUGCAAGUCGAACGGUCUUUCUAUGGAAGCUUGCUCCACUGAAAAGAUAGUGGCGAACGGGUGAGUAACACGUGGGUAACCUGCCCAUAAGAGGGGGAUAACAUCCGGAAACGGGUGCUAAUACCGCAUAGUUUUCUUGAUUGCAUGAUCGGGAAGGAAAGACGGCCUUUGUGCUGUCGCUUAUGGAUGGACCCGCGGCGUAUUAGUUAGUUGGUGAGGUAACGGCUCACCAAGACGAUGAUACGUAGCCGACCUGAGAGGGUGAUCGGCCACAUUGGGACUGAGACACGGCCCAAACUCCUACGGGAGGCAGCAGUAGGGAAUCUUCCGCAAUGGACGAAAGUCUGACGGAGCAACGCCGCGUGAGUGAAAGAAGGUUUUCGGAUCGUAAAACUCUGUUGUCAGAGAAGAACAAGUUGGAGAGUAACUGCUCCAGCCUUGACGGUAUCUGACCAGAAAGCCACGGCUAACUACGUGCCAGCCGCGGC
This 514-nucleotide ribosomal RNA is filed under the name uncultured bacterium. Its description in RNAcentral is "bacterial SSU rRNA". It matches the Rfam family "Bacterial small subunit ribosomal RNA", at positions 29 to 518 of the family's 1533-position model. The record is from RNAcentral.